Molecule: long non-coding RNA, 559 nt
Filed under: Solanum lycopersicum (tomato)
Lineage: Eukaryota; Viridiplantae; Streptophyta; Magnoliopsida; Solanales; Solanaceae
Description: long non-coding RNA (SLYC_LNC001178)
Source: RNAcentral
UUGAAUCAUUAGCGACCAUAACUAGAAUAAAGUUGCAAGUUUUUGCAUUAAGGAAUGAAUUUACCAAUCCAUAAUGAAUACAGAAACGAUCAGACAACGACUCAGCAGCACCAAAAGCCCAACAAGAACCACAAUGUCCCUGAAAUACAAACAAUCAGAUUGUUAGAAUACCAGGAAAGAGCAAUAAGCAAAUUCAGGAGGAAAAACAAAUGAGUGAAAGUAGAACCAAGACAAAUCACCUGAUCUGGCGUCGCAAAACAGUACCGGUGCAUGACAUCAAAAGAUGGAAAGCAUUAGCACCACUCUAGAGAACUACAGCACUAAAUCAAGGACAAAAGAGAAGAAACUAACCAAGAAUUCUCCCAAUAGUGCUACACUGAGGCCAAGCCACUCGUGCAUCAAACUCUUGGGGUAACUUCAAAAGUUUUGGAUGAGUUAAAAUAGGGAUGCCCUUCAAAUCACCCUUUCUUGUGGGCUUAACUCCAAGAAGGCGCUUAAAUUGGGAAACCUGUGAAUGAAGGGUACAUGCACUCAUAAAAGGAGAGUUGAAGGAUGUGGC